Molecule: ribosomal RNA, 3472 nt
Filed under: Triticum aestivum (bread wheat)
Lineage: Eukaryota; Viridiplantae; Streptophyta; Magnoliopsida; Poales; Poaceae
Description: partial small subunit ribosomal RNA
Source: RNAcentral
GCAGAUCACAGAAGAGACGUUUCCCGCCCCGAGUAAACCUCGACCCCUGACCCAGCAUCUCUCUUCCUCGCGGUAGCUGCUCCGGGGUACCUCAAGCACUACGUCAGUUAUUUAGGUGAAAGGACCUCCUCCAUCCUAUCUCGAAACACGGCGGGGACACGGCCGUCGCCACUGCUCCCCGCUAUACCACCGCCUCGUCCUCCACCACCUCGUCCUUGCCCGCCACCUGUCGUAGCUUCGAGACUAGAACCGCCGGUUCCAUCGUCAUCGCCGCUUGUCCUCUCCCUCGAAAAGGGGCUGCAGCUCGGCAGUUGACCCUUCUACUUAGGGGCCCGCGGACCUACCUUAUUCUCCGACUACGUCUCCUCCCUAAAAAAAAAGUUCAAAACCCCUAAGAGAGACGAACUCCUCCAUCCCCUCUCAAACCACGGCCGGGAACACCGACACUUACCGGAACGCCACCACCUAAACCUCCACGGUGUCGUCCGCCUCGUGUUCCGCCGUGUUGUAACCGGUCACCUGUCGUCACUUCUUGUCUAGAAGAGCUGCUUCCUCCGUCACCGGCUGUCUUCCCUCUCGAGCGCAGGUUGAAACCUCGACAGUUACCCCUUCUACUUAGGGGUUCGCGGCCCCACCUUACUCACCAAUCACUUCUCGUUGAACGUAGCGUAGUCUCUUAGUUCCUAAAUCCCUUUAUCUUGAUCAGUACUGAAUGCUUUAGGAUGUUAAUCUCGUUCACGACUAACGAGAGACGUAAGUAUUUUAAGUACGAUUUACACGGACACAAACGAUCGACACUGCCACCACGUUUCACCGUACACGACUUCUUUCGUUUCCUGAGUAACUCUCGAGACAUGUGAUUUUUCACACUCAUGUCUCGUCUUAGAGUAUUUCACCAUUAGGUGUACGAUUAUCAUCUACUUAAACUCUCUCCCACCCUCUACAACGACCUAUUUAUGUUUCGAGUCCAGUGUGGGAAUGUACUACGUCAACAAGCUCUAAUCCGUCUUUACCAUAUUCGGAAUGAAAUUCCCGCACAAGUCGCGGCCUCUAGAGUCCGAUACGACCAAAAUCAAAACCAGACGUCGAACAAGUCGCGGCCUCUAACUAGACCCGCUGCUGUAUCGGCCCCCGCUUCUUUACCUCAAGGACUACGUUGGUUAAACAUCCGAAGGGAAACGCGGAAUGUGCGAGCCAAGAAAAUGCCUCAAAACAACCUUUAAACACAGUACUAAGCUAUAACUCGAUUGCCCGUCUAGUCACGUCCCCUCCUCCACGGACAGUAACUUCGUGUCCCACUUCGCGUUCGUAGGCUCGUCAGACAACCAGUUUGACUGGGUUUUUGAGAUCCUACCUGUUCUUCCAUUAGAGAACCAGUACGCACUAACCUAUGGGCUACAGUUCGGCAUGCACCUUCACGAGCUUAACGUACAAGUAUUAACCGAAUGUCGAAUGACCUACUGUUAAAUCAAUUGCUUGGAGACCUUUUCCUUUUAGACACACGUGUCCCAAACCUAGGACUAACUUACAAUUCAUCCUACACCGUCAUAUUUUUAAACAUCUAUAUACAGUUUAGUCCAACGUACUUAACCCUUUACACUAAACUCUCGUUGUGCCCAAGAUCGAACCCAGAUACUAUCACCUUACAUAAUGUAACCGAUCUCAUACUAAAAAAAUCAAUUUAACCUUGAAUGCCAUAUUCUAUUCUAUGUUCUAUUCGAAACACUAAAGUCCCUACUCACACAUAUUUCGAACAUGGAAAAUACCUAAGUGCUUGUUAACGAACGUAGUCUACCUUAGUAACCCUUCUUGACUUAGUUAUCUUUCUUGUGUUGUCACGGAAACCCACUCAUACCUAACUACUGGUCACGAAUUUGUAAUUGAGAAGAGACCUCCCACUCCUAACCACGACGACGAGGACCGUCCUGCGGCACAGGUCUAACGUGCUCGCGAGAGCUCUUCCUUUAGACGUCGAAGUGUCUCUUGGGUCCUCUGUAACACUAACACGUACGCAACCCCAUGUUCGAAACUAUGUAACCCGCUCCGAAUGCUGAACAUGUUCGACAUGAGCACCCUCUUCCCUAGGCCAUAGUCUAUGCUUUACUCGUUUACACCUCUCCUGUUUCACGUACGUUCUUUGGAGAACACCGACACGCCCACCCGCACACUGUUCACACACGGAAUGACGCGCGGUUCUUGGCACUGCUUGGUGAUGCUUAAAGCUUACCGUUCUCGCCCUCUUUCACUACGACAAAUUGUCUUGGUCGUCGUCGUCUCGGUGAAGACUUGACACACAGGGGUAAACUAUGUGACGAAGGACUUCCAUCUUCUUCCGACUUCUUUCCUCGCGUCGUUGACCAUUACCGAGGAAGGCACGAUAAGCAGAGACUUAGACGGUAAUGAUUUCUCCGUUAUUGAGCCUACGUCGAAGGUUCGGCGUUUAUCAUAAACUUCUCCAUUUAGAUAAGUAUAUCUUUACAACUAGAUUCAACCUAAACACCGUUGUAAGUUAAUUGCCCCAUCGACCACACGUACCAAGAAUACCUAGACUUUCGUGCUAAUUGGUCCAGCACGCCAAUCAGUGCUCCUCGCUUCCAGGUUGUCGCUCCGCGUUAUUUACCCAAUAGACGGCGGCACUCAGGUCUUAGAGAUUAAAGUGCCGCGCGAUGCAACCCUGUACAGACUCAGCCUCUUGUACACCGAUUGUUGCAUUACGCGAUAAGCAACAAGUCUUCACCCGGUCACCCUGGCAAGUUUUUCACUAUAUGGCCUCAUUAUGGAUUCGGACAUGAACAGUCCCACGCUUAGAGCUACUCUUAUCUGCCCCGUCUAUAUCUCAGGUAGACUCGAGCUCGAAUCUUAUUGUGAAAACGAUGUUAACGAGAAAAUAUAAGAAAGUGAAAGAACGGCGAAACGGAAUAGCGAUAAACGAAAAUAAGAACAUAGAUCGCGUUCCCCUAACGUCGGGAGAACGGAACAACCCACGUUCGUUAAACAAAUAAACCCACGUCCACGACGAUUGUAACGAUCGAACCAAGGAGGAUCACCAAGCUAUUUGGAACCAUCAAUUAAUUCCCUUUAUGGAAAACGAUACCACGAUGUAGAGGGAAAGAGAAACCUUUUUAGGUUGAUGAGGUAGUACUCAUCAUCUUCUUAAAAACCGCGGCAACGGUCUCCCCAAUGGUAGAUGGUUUAGUCCACGGAAGCGUGUUUGUGGGAUACAAAAGAACAAAAAUAAAAGAACAGAUCAACGGAAAAGGAAAAUUAAACGGAAGAAAAACCAAACGCUUUUUUUAAGGUUUUAUUAUUUGUUUUAGAACUCAACGAUAGAGACGAACACAGCGGUGAUACAGAUGAGAACUUCUUCAACUACAACUUUCACGAUCACUUCUAUUAGGAUCGCUUUUAGUACUCCUUCGUGAAUUCUAUGGAUUGAAAUUAUUACUAGGAGUACUAUUACUUGGAGGAAACU